Molecule: non-coding RNA, 180 nt
Filed under: Kineobactrum salinum
Lineage: Bacteria; Pseudomonadati; Pseudomonadota; Gammaproteobacteria; Cellvibrionales; Halieaceae
Description: 6S / SsrS RNA
Rfam family: 6S / SsrS RNA
About the family: E. coli 6S RNA was the first non coding RNA to be sequenced, but its function was unknown until recently. It consists of 184 nucleotides that fold into an extended hairpin structure with a large single-stranded internal bulge.
Source: Rfam by way of RNAcentral
GGAUUCCUGGCAUACGCGCCAGGCAGACAGUCCUCGAGCCGAUAAGUCUGUACCUGGAGGUUCCUCGUUACUGCUGGUGUGCACGUCCGGUCUGAUCCGGAAAGCCUGAUGCAGUGCAGGAACCCCCUCCUUGAACCAUCGGGUUCAGGGCAACUCUGCCAACGCCAUGCCGGGAAUCCA